ACGGGCGAGUAACGCGUGGGAACGUGCCCUUCGGUUCGGAAUAACCCAGGGAAACUUGAGCUAAUACCGGAUACGCCCCUUUGGGGAAAGGUUUACUGCCGAAGGAUCGGCCCGCGUCUGAUUAGCUAGUUGGUGAGGUUAUGGCUCACCAAGGCGACGAUCAGUAGCUGGUCUGAGAGGAUGAUCAGCCACACUGGGACUGAGACACGGCCCAGACUCCUACGGGAGGCAGCAGUGGGGAAUAUUGGACAAUGGGGGCAACCCUGAUCCAGCCAUGCCGCGUGAGUGAUGACGGCCUUAGGGUUGUAAAGCUCUUUUCUCCGGGACGAUAAUGACGGUACCGGAGGAAUAAGCCCCGGCUAACUUCGUGCCAGCAGCCGCGGUAAUACGAAGGGGGCUAGCGUCGCUCGGAAUCACUGGGCGUAAAGGGCGCGUAGGCGGCUGAUUUAGUCGAGGGUGAAAGCCCGUGGCUCAACCACGGAAUGGCCUUCGAUACUGAUUGGCUUGAGACCGGAAGAGGACAGCGGAACUGCGAGUGUAGAGGUGAAAUUCGUAGA
Molecule: ribosomal RNA, 557 nt
Filed under: uncultured bacterium
Lineage: Bacteria
Description: bacterial SSU rRNA
Rfam family: Bacterial small subunit ribosomal RNA
Source: RNAcentral